This 532-nucleotide ribosomal RNA is filed under the name Stutzerimonas stutzeri. RNAcentral describes it as "bacterial SSU rRNA". It matches the Rfam family "Bacterial small subunit ribosomal RNA", at positions 156 to 683 of the family's 1533-position model. Lineage: Bacteria; Pseudomonadati; Pseudomonadota; Gammaproteobacteria; Pseudomonadales; Pseudomonadaceae. The record is from RNAcentral.
AGGAACGCUAAUACCGCAUACGUCCUACGGGAGAAAGUGGGGGAUCUUCGGACCUCACGCUAUCAGAUGAGCCUAGGUCGGAUUAGCUAGUUGGUGAGGUAAAGGCUCACCAAGGCGACGAUCCGUAACUGGUCUGAGAGGAUGAUCAGUCACACUGGAACUGAGACACGGUCCAGACUCCUACGGGAGGCAGCAGUGGGGAAUAUUGGACAAUGGGCGAAAGCCUGAUCCAGCCAUGCCGCGUGUGUGAAGAAGGUCUUCGGAUUGUAAAGCACUUUAAGUUGGGAGGAAGGGCAGUAAGUUAAUACCUUGCUGUUUUGACGUUACCAACAGAAUAAGCACCGGCUAACUUCGUGCCAGCAGCCGCGGUAAUACGAAGGGUGCAAGCGUUAAUCGGAAUUACUGGGCGUAAAGCGCGCGUAGGUGGUUCGUUAAGUUGGAUGUGAAAGCCCCGGGCUCAACCUGGGAACUGCAUCCAAAACUGGCGAGCUAGAGUAUGGCAGAGGGUGGUGGAAUUUCCUGUGUAGCGGUG